GCAGUCACCAGUCACAGUUAGUCGUUGAGCCCAAGCGCGAUCGUGUUGUGAUAGUUGGGUUGCAGUUAUUAGCGCGGUUACACACCACGGUUGGGUGGGGCUUGUUUUGGUUCAUCGCUGUUCACUUUAACCUGCCUGUGGUCUGGCGAUCUUACCCGACGACAUGGAAAACGUUCAACUAAAUUUCACAGUGGGGUCAUGAGAUUCAAUGCUUCUUUGUACUUACAGCGUUGUCCGAUCAUCUCAAGGAGCUUGCCGGGAUGCUGCCUUCUGUUCCUUACUUACUUCCUGAAACUACUCAUCUGUUGUCCCUCCAUGUGAAGGAGAUCUUCAGAGAUCUUCAAUCAGUGACCUGGAAGCUAGCAGCUAUUCUUCUUGCUGUAUCAGCUAUUCUUCCUUCAUUAUUUCCUGAGUGAACUGGGUAUGGGUGGAUGGGCCGGCAGGAACGCAUGCUGCAAAGAGCUGUGCACAAUCAACAUGGCAAGAAAACUAAGCAAACAAACAUGUUUAACUUUUUCUAUUAGGUUAAAUUUGUACUGUUUUAAUAUUUGUUGAAUUUUUCAUUGUACUAUUUAAUUUGAUAAUAAGAAAACCAUCUUGCACCAAUUGUUUCAGAUAAUCAACGUACUGCUGUAAACAGUCCUUUUACCUCUAAUCAAAAAGAUCAAUAGAACAUAGAUUUAAGCAGUAUUCCAUAUUAAAUAUUUAGUAUAGAGAAGUAAGAAAAUAACAUUUAUUUCUUACACAAUUAACCACAAUCAAUAAGAAAGAGAGGAUUUUAGUUUUAAAAUUUACUACAUUUGUUAACAAUGUAUAAUUUUAUUUAGACAAUAAUAAGGCCAAUUAAAUAAAUAAAACCUAAAAUGAGACCAAAUAACAUGUCUUGUUUUUGUUCUUGUCAAAUGAGUGACAGUUUUAAAAGGCUUCAACUUUAGAAGUCCAUUUAUAAUAUUUUUAAACACUACCUGAAACUGACCAGUGGAAUCAAAUGAA
Molecule: long non-coding RNA, 993 nt
Organism: Homalodisca vitripennis (glassy-winged sharpshooter)
Lineage: Eukaryota; Metazoa; Arthropoda; Insecta; Hemiptera; Cicadellidae
Exons: 3
Source: RefSeq, a predicted model, not a curated record